Long non-coding RNA from Poecilia latipinna (sailfin molly), 362 nucleotides. RefSeq lists it as uncharacterized. Lineage: Eukaryota; Metazoa; Chordata; Actinopteri; Cyprinodontiformes; Poeciliidae. The record is from RefSeq and is a predicted model, not a curated record. The transcript is spliced from 3 exons.
UUUAAAAAAGCGAACAAAAAUAAACAAAACAAAAAAAAUACGGUUUUAGAUUUUAGUGAGUUGUUUUUAAAUACCUAAUUAAAAUCUUAUGACGGAUACGUUUGGCUUUUGUAUUUUUAGUAAAUUCUUAAUAUCCUGUUCAAAUUCGCAGAUAAAUUAUAAAUAAAGGUUUUUAAAAAAAGGUAAAAAAAAAAAAGGUUCUAUUAGCGACAAGCGGCUGUUAUCACCGAUAGAAUGAUUGAUAACAGCCUGCUAGUAGGCAGAGCAAGGACCAACUGAGGCGAUUCAAUGGGGCUGAUAACCACUGAUAAUCACCAUUCUAUGGGAUGAUAACAUCCGAAGCGGGAGUUUCAAGGCUUUCC